RNAcentral lists this ribosomal RNA (504 nucleotides) under uncultured bacterium. Its description in RNAcentral is "bacterial SSU rRNA". It matches the Rfam family "Bacterial small subunit ribosomal RNA", at positions 29 to 517 of the family's 1533-position model. The record is from RNAcentral.
AACGAACGCUGGCGGCGCGUCUUAAGCAUGCAAGUCGAACGGCAAGAUUGGUGCUUGCACCGAUCCUAGAGUGGCGGACUGGUGAGUAACGCGUGGGUGACGUACCCUAAGGAUGGGGAUAGCUGGUAGAAAUAUCAGAUAAUACCGAAUAUCCUUAUUGUUGUUAGAGGACAGUAAGGAAAGGAGCUUUGGCUUCGCCUAAGGAUCGGCCCGCGUACUAUUAGCUAGUUGGUGAGGUAACGGCUCACCAAGGCGACGAUAGUUAUCCGGCCUAAGAGGGUGAACGGACACAUUGGGACUGAGAUACGGCCCAGACUCCUACGGGAGGCAGCAGCUAAGAAUAUUCCGCAAUGGAGGAAACUCUGACGGAGCGACGCCGCGUGGAUGAUGAAGGCCGGAAGGUUGUAAAAUCCUUUUAAGCAAGAAGAAUAAACUUUACAGGGAAUGGUAGAGUGGUGACGGUAUUGCUUGAAUAAGCAACGGCUAAUUACGUGCCAGCAGCCG